RNAcentral lists this ribosomal RNA (467 nucleotides) under uncultured bacterium. RNAcentral describes it as "bacterial SSU rRNA". It matches the Rfam family "Bacterial small subunit ribosomal RNA", at positions 355 to 820 of the family's 1533-position model. The record is from RNAcentral.
UGGGGAAUUUUGGACAAUGGGGGCAACCCUGAUCCAGCAAUGCCGCGUGAGUGAAGAAGGCCUUCGGGUUGUAAAGCUCUUUUGUCAGGGAAGAAACGGUAGUAGCGAAUAACUAUUACUAAUGACGGUACCUGAAGAAUAAGCACCGGCUAACUACGUGCCAGCAGCCGCGGUAAUACGUAGGGUGCAAGCGUUAAUCGGAAUUACUGGGCGUAAAGCGUGCGCAGGCGGUUGUGUAAGUCAGAUGUGAAAUCCCCGGGCUCAACCUGGGAAUUGCAUUUGAGACUGCACGGCUAGAGUGUGUCAGAGGGGGGUAGAAUUCCACGUGUAGCAGUGAAAUGCGUAGAUAUGUGGAGGAAUACCGAUGGCGAAGGCAGCCCCCUGGGAUAACACUGACGCUCAUGCACGAAAGCGUGGGGAGCAAACAGGAUUAGAUACCCCCGUAGUCCCUGAGCGGGCUGGCAAGG